UACGUAGGAUCCGAGCGUUAUCCGGAUUUAUUGGGUUUAAAGGGUGCGUAGGCGGGCAUUUAAGCCGGCGGUCAAAUGUCGGGGCUCAACCCCGGCCUGCCGUCGGAACUGGGUGCCUUGAGUGGGCGAGAAGUAUGCGGAAUGCGUGGUGUAGCGGUGAAAUGCAUAGAUAUCGGGAAGAACACCGAUGGCGAAGGCAGCUCUCUGGGCCGUCACUGACGCUGAGGCGCGAAAGCUGGGGGAGCGAACAGG
This 252-nucleotide ribosomal RNA is filed under the name uncultured Bacteroidales bacterium. RNAcentral describes it as "partial 16S ribosomal RNA". It matches the Rfam family "Bacterial small subunit ribosomal RNA", at positions 524 to 776 of the family's 1533-position model. The record is from RNAcentral. Lineage: Bacteria; Pseudomonadati; Bacteroidota; Bacteroidia; Bacteroidales.